CUAUAUUCAAAUUUACUUUACUCGUUGAAGAAAUUAGCUCCAUUUUUCUUGAAUUUUCCCAUGAAUCUAACGCAAAAAUCAAUUAAAUCUACUUGUUCAAAUGGAGAAUUACUUAUUAGUUUCAAGAAUCUUCAUUCAAGACUGAAUUUUUCAUCAUCAAAUUGUGUCCAAAUUCUAACAGAUUAUAGUGGGUCUGCCAGACCCUUUUCAAACCCUCUGCAUAACUUUCUACCUAAAACCCAAAACCCCCAAAACACAGUGAGUCUGAUAUGUUCAGCUCUAAAGAACAGAAACAAUGACCAUUUGUCCCUCCUUCAGAAAACCAUCCAAGAUAAUGGGCUUAUUAGUUAUUUCAGUGACAGUGAAAUCUCAAGGGUCCUGUUGAGAUGCCAGUCUGAUUCAUGUAGUGCUCUUAGUUUCUUUAACUGGGUCAAGAAUGAUUUGGGUGUGGAGCCUAACACUCAAAACUACUGUCUUGUAAUUCAUAUACUGACUUGGACAAGGAACUUUUCACAAGCAAUGAAAUUUUUGUCUGAAUUGGUUGAUUUGAAGAGAGAUGGAAUGGAGAGUGUGGAUGUGUUUGAAAGUUUGCUUUCAUCUAGUGGUUUGUGUAAUUGGGACCCUGUUGUGUUUGAUAUGCUAAUUAAGGCUUUUCUCAAGGUGAACAUGGUGAAAGAUGGAUUUAGAGCGUUUAGGAAGACGGUGAAGCAUGGAAUGUACCCGAGUGUUAUUACUGUGAACUGUCUUUUAACUGGUCUUUCAAAGUUGAAUUAUAGCAAAAAAUGUUGGGAAGUUUAUGCUGAAAUGGAAAGAAUUGGAGUGCACCCGAAUUCGUGUACCUUUAAUAUAUUAACCCAUGUCUUGUGCAAGGAUGAAGAUGUGAACACGGUUAAUGAAUUCUUGGAGAAAAUGGAAGAAGAAGGGUUUCAACCUGAUAUAGUUACAUAUAAUACUUUAGUUAGUAGCUAUUGUAGGAAAGGAAGACUGAAAGAUGCAGUUCACUUGUAUCAAAUUAUGUACAUUAGAGAUGUAUCACCAGAUUUGUUCACAUAUACUUCUUUGAUAAAUGGCUUUUGUAAAAAGGGAAAUGUGAAAGAUGCUCAUCAGUUGUUUAUAAGGAUGGCUGACAGAGGGUUAAAACCAGAUGUUAUUUUGUAUAACACUCUUAUUUCUGGUUAUUGCAAAGAGGGGAUGAUGCAAGAGGCACGUUUUCUGUUGCAUGACAUGAUUGGAGAAGGGAUGCAUCCUGAUAAGUUCACUUGUACAGUUCUUGUACAAGGAUAUCAAAAACAGGAUAAUUUGGUUUCAGCUGUGAAUUUAGUCACCGAGCUUCAAAGAUUUAGAUUUGUAGUAUCUCAUGAUAUAUACAAUUAUCUUAUUGCUGCACUUUGUAUUGAGAAUCGACCAUUUGUAGCCAAAGCUCUAAUUGAUCGAGUAUCUGGCGACAGAUAUGAGCCUGGCAAUAUGGUCUACGGGGAGUUGAUUGAAUCUUUCUGCAGAUGCAAUUUCCCCGAUGAGGCUUCAUGCUUAAAAGCAGAGAUGGUAUCAAAAGAUUUGAAGCCUGAUAUUGGUACAUAUAGAGCUAUAAUUAAAUGUUUGUGUAAAUUAGGCCGAAGCAUGGAUGCCAACUCCUUGAUGAGAGAAAUGACUGAUUGUGAUGUGCCACCUGAUAUUGAAGUCUGUAGAGCUUUAAUAAAUGGUCAUUGUGGGGAGAACAAUUUCUGUGAGGCUCAAUCGCUGUUAAGCUUCUUUGCUCAAGAAUUUAAAAUAUUUGACACAGUUUGUUACAACACAAUUGUCAGGCUUCUAAGUGGUAAAGGUGAUAUUGCAAAAUUGAUGAAAUUUCAAGAUAAAAUGAGGAAAGUGGGUUUUGCGCCAAAUCAGCUGACAUGCAAGUACGUUAUUGAUGGAUUACAGAAAGCCGUGGGAGUCCACAAAAUCAACAGCUGAGUGCAGUAAUGAGUUCAGUCUUUGGUGGCAAUGAUUUUCUCCGUUAAGAUGACAUUGCUGCAGUGGAUCUCAAAUGACUUUAGCUUCUUUACUGAAAGGUGCUUGGAUUCACACAUCUUGAGAUUGGACACGGAGCUUCUUGAUCUUGACGUUUCAGAAAUAGAGGAUCAAUCACUUCAGGGUACAGGGUUAUGAAAUAUGAAGCUAUAUUACUUGCAGAAGGAUUAACAUUGGUUUCUGUUAGAGUUGAACUUAAGAUCCUCAGUACUAGAACCACAGAUCAAGUUUGAAUUAUAUGCUAACUGGUUCUUUGUGUUUUGUUUUCAGCUGUAUUAUGGUUCCUUCAUGGCUGACCUAAAUUUGGAAUUAUAAGUGGCUGGCUAAAGAAGGUGUCAAUUCUCAAAGGUCAGAUCCUGCUUCCAUAGUAUUGGAGCUCACCUGUAUUUUCCAGUUAAUUGUGAAGAUUUCUGUUAAUAUCAAAAGCACCGACCUUUGCUGCUAUGAAUUGGUUCUAAUACAAGGGAGGAAACAAUGAAAAGCUUCUCCAGAUUUAAAGUUGGUUUUUGACAUGCAGAUGCACAUAUGGGGUGGUAGAACUUCCUUUAAGAUUUUCCUUUGUCAGGGAUCUCAUUCAGCCUCUCUAUCUUCACAAGGUAGGAUAAGGCUGCGUAGAUCCUACCUGUGGGAUUACACCGGAUAUGUUGUUGUAGGGAUCUCAUCUCAUAACAAGACCCUGUACCCUGCUGUUCAAGAGUUUAUACAUUGUUGAAGCUAAUGUAUCUGUCUGCUUAUAUAAGAUGCUUCUUAUCCUUUCA
Molecule: RNA transcript, 2765 nt
Organism: Solanum verrucosum
Lineage: Eukaryota; Viridiplantae; Streptophyta; Magnoliopsida; Solanales; Solanaceae
Gene name: pentatricopeptide repeat-containing protein At5g40400
Exons: 3
Source: RefSeq, a predicted model, not a curated record